RNAcentral lists this ribosomal RNA (520 nucleotides) under uncultured Glomus. RNAcentral's name for it is "SSU rRNA". It matches the Rfam family "Eukaryotic small subunit ribosomal RNA", at positions 569 to 1092 of the family's 1831-position model. The record is from RNAcentral. Lineage: Eukaryota; Fungi; Glomeromycota; Glomeromycetes; Glomerales; Glomeraceae.
CGCAGCCGCGGUAAUUCCAGCUCCAAUAGCGUAUAUUAAAGUUGUUGCAGUUAAAAAGCUCGUAGUUGAAUUUCGGAACCAAUAUGUCGGUCGUGCCUCGGUACGUACUGGUGUCAUUGGUUUCUCCCUUCUGAGGAUCCUUGAUGUCAUUAAUUUGGUGUCUUGGGAAAUCAGGACUGUUACCUUGAAAAAAUUAGAGUGUUUAAAGCAGGCAUACGCUUGAAUACAUUAGCAUGGAAUAAUGAAAUAGGACGUUCGAUUCUAUUUUGUUGGUUUCUAGGAUCGACGUAAUGAUUAAUAGGGAUAGUUGGGGGCAUUAGUAUUCAAUUGUCAGAGGUGAAAUUCUUGGAUUUAUUGAAGACUAACUACUGCGAAAGCAUUUGCCAAGGAUGUUUUCAUUAAUCAAGAACGAAAGUUAGGGGAUCGAAGACGAUCAGAUACCGUCGUAGUCUUAACCAUAAACUAUGCCGACUAGGGAUCGGAUGAUGUUAAUUUUUAAUGACUCAUUCGGCGCCUUAAC